This is a small nucleolar RNA of Lathyrus oleraceus (garden pea), 84 nucleotides long. RefSeq annotates it as small nucleolar RNA R38. The transcript has a single exon. The record is from RefSeq and is a predicted model, not a curated record. NCBI's taxonomy places the organism in Eukaryota, Viridiplantae, Streptophyta, Magnoliopsida, Fabales, Fabaceae.
UGCCAUGAAUGAUGAGAUUAACAAUUUUACAGUUAUCCCUGUCUGAUAACCUAAUGCUGAAAUUGUAUAUGCUCUGACAUGCUA